RNAcentral lists this long non-coding RNA (364 nucleotides) under Homo sapiens (human). RNAcentral describes it as "HSALNT0164878". Lineage: Eukaryota; Metazoa; Chordata; Mammalia; Primates; Hominidae. The record is from RNAcentral.
GCUCAGUGUCCCCACGGGAAGGGAUCAGUGGGAGCUUUCAGCGCCAAUGUCUCAUGAGUUGAAGAAAGAAGAGGGUUGUCAUCUCAGUUGACACAGGGGUGGAGGCCCGUGCGUGGGCCCCUGAAGUUUCUAGGGCUGACUCUUCCUAAUUUUCUGUGUGGCCUUGAACAAAUCCUCUCUCUGGAUGUCACUCGCACCUAAGAAGCCAGAUACUUCAGGCUCCCCCCAGCCCCAUCCUAGUCCACACCCCUAAAGGGAUUCCCAGAAUUUCGGAACCCUGAUCAACAUAAACCCUGGGCCCCUCAGGCAGGUGCCAGCCAGGAGUAGUGGAUUUACAAGGUAAGGACGUAUAAGAUGUGACAGG